Non-coding RNA from Gekko japonicus, 72 nucleotides. NCBI's taxonomy places the organism in Eukaryota, Metazoa, Chordata, Lepidosauria, Squamata, Gekkonidae. The record is from the annotation of a RefSeq genome assembly.
GGAGCUGUGGCUCAGUGGUAGAGCAUCUGCUUGGAAUGCAGAAGGUCCCAGUUUCAAAUCCUGCCAUCUCCA